GGGAAGGGGCAAAGUGGUCAGAGAAGGUUGCUCAGAAUUGUCGUUUAUUGUCAUCCCCCACUAGAUUAUAAACUAGGUAAGAAUAGAGGCUGUGUCUUAUUCUUCAUUCUGUCCCCAAGGCUGAGUCUAGUGCAUGGCACAUAGUAGAUGCUCAUUGAAUCACAGUUUAAAUGAAUGUUGAAUAGAGGUCAGAUAUGUGUACAUGUGGAGCAAGAGAACAAGGUGUCAUCUUUCUCUUAUGUUUAGGCAUUUUCAUGAAUGUAGCCCAUAAUGAUGUUAAAAAAUAAUACACCAUGACCUUAAGUCAAGCAGAGGUUGACCUUAAAUCAACCAUCAGACAGAGGAACUAGAAUUCCAGACUUUAGUAAAGUGAUUAUUUGCCUUCACUGGCCUCUAGAUGGGAGAAAGGAUUUGCCUUGACAUUAUACGAUUCGCCUCGACAUUAUCCCUUUCUGUUCUGAGUUUUCAUGGUCUGUCAGUGAAAUUCAGUGAAAGACAGAGAAGGAGAGUUUGCAUAAAAGAAGCUCAACUUUAACUGAGCCCCUCUGGGAAA
Molecule: long non-coding RNA, 553 nt
Filed under: Pan troglodytes (chimpanzee)
Lineage: Eukaryota; Metazoa; Chordata; Mammalia; Primates; Hominidae
Description: long non-coding RNA NONPTRT006226
Source: RNAcentral